CAGCAGCCGCCGCGGUAAUACGUAGGUGGCAAGCGUUGUCCGGAAUUAUUGGGCGUAAAGGGCUCGCAGGCGGUUUCUUAAGUCUGAUGUGAAAGCCCCCGGCUCAACCGGGGAGGGUCAUUGGAAACUGGGAAACUUGAGUGCAGGAGAGGAGAGUGGAAUUCCACGUGUAGCGGUGAAAUGCGUAGAGAUGUGGAGGAACACCAGUGGCGAAGGCGACUCUCUGGUCUGUAACUGACGCUGAGGAGCGAAAGCGUGGGGAGCGAACAGGAUUAGAUACCCCAGUAGUCCCUGUCUCUUAUAC
RNAcentral lists this ribosomal RNA (304 nucleotides) under uncultured bacterium. Its description in RNAcentral is "partial 16S ribosomal RNA". It matches the Rfam family "Bacterial small subunit ribosomal RNA", at positions 506 to 807 of the family's 1533-position model. The record is from RNAcentral.